Long non-coding RNA from Haliotis rubra (blacklip abalone), 686 nucleotides. RefSeq lists it as uncharacterized. The record is from RefSeq and is a predicted model, not a curated record. The transcript is spliced from 2 exons. NCBI's taxonomy places the organism in Eukaryota, Metazoa, Mollusca, Gastropoda, Lepetellida, Haliotidae.
ACAACUAUUGUUGGCAUGAGUAUAUACUGAGAGAAACAACUAAAGGAACACAGGGAAAUUCAAGCGUUUCUUUAUUAUUUUCCAGUUUUCAUCACCACUCUUGAUUUGACUGUAGGACUUAUUGGUGAAUGUGUUGGCACAGUAUACUCAGUAUAUUUCCAUAGUUCAAUUACAAUUCUACUUUAUCUUGAUGUGCAACUUGUAAAUCAUUUUUAUUAUAGCGUCAAUAAAAGUUUUACAUUGAACUUUUGUGGUCUUGACAGCAUUUCAGUCAUUUCACGUAAUGCCUGACUAUGAUAUUUAGUCAUUUCGUGUAAUAACUGGAAUUUUCAGUCAUUACACGUAUUGCCUAGUGCUCACAGGCACUUCACGAAAUGACUGAUUCAUUUAGUCAUUACGCGAAAUGACUGAUUACACAGAUUGGCUGUAACAUACACUACCUGCUUAGGGACACAGCUGGCUCGGCGGACCAUGCUACCGUUACGUUUUCGUAAAGUUGCCUUCCUGAAUGAAGGUGGGUCGAAUCCCGUUUCUAAAAGUAUGUGUCCAGGCUUACCAGCCCGAUACCCGUGUUUCUCUGCUAGAGUGAUAAAGAUUUGAUACAUGUAUCAGUUUUCUCAACAUUCAGUUAACAUGGGUGAUUUGUAAUACUGUUUCAAAGAGGCAUAAAACCGUCAUUACCCAUG